RNAcentral lists this ribosomal RNA (253 nucleotides) under uncultured bacterium. RNAcentral's name for it is "partial 16S ribosomal RNA". It matches the Rfam family "Bacterial small subunit ribosomal RNA", at positions 524 to 776 of the family's 1533-position model. The record is from RNAcentral.
UACGGAGGGAGCUAGCGUUGUUCGGAAUUACUGGGCGUAAAGCGCACGUAGGCGGCUUUGUAAGUUAGAGGUGAAAGCCCGGGGCUCAACUCCGGAAUUGCCUUUAAGACUGCAUCGCUAGAACGUCGGAGAGGUAAGUGGAAUUCCGAGUGUAGAGGUGAAAUUCGUAGAUAUUCGGAAGAACACCAGUGGCGAAGGCGACUUACUGGACGACUGUUGACGCUGAGGUGCGAAAGCGUGGGGAGCAAACAGG